GCUUACGGCCAUACCAACCUGGCUAUGCCCGAUCUCGGAAGCUAAGCAGGUUUGGGCCUGGUUAGUACUUGGAUGGGAGACCGCCUGGGAAUACCAGGUGCUGUAAGCU
Molecule: ribosomal RNA, 109 nt
Organism: Carassius auratus (goldfish)
Lineage: Eukaryota; Metazoa; Chordata; Actinopteri; Cypriniformes; Cyprinidae
Source: Ensembl